UAGUUACAAAAGCUACCUAGUUCUUGUUAGUUUUCUUCGUUUCCCAUUUGAGUUGUCUUUGAAGCUUAGAUCAUGGCAAAUUUUUAGUCCUUCUUUCUGAGUAAGGCUAACUAAUUCGCCAUAAGUAUAGAGAUCAUAAGGGAUUUGGCCAUUAUGGGCUUCUCUUAUAGUAUUCCUAACUUUUUCACCUAGUAUUUCAA
Molecule: long non-coding RNA, 200 nt
Filed under: Ricinus communis (castor bean)
Lineage: Eukaryota; Viridiplantae; Streptophyta; Magnoliopsida; Malpighiales; Euphorbiaceae
Description: long non-coding RNA (RCOM_LNC001593)
Source: RNAcentral